GACAGGGCAGCCACCACCUCUCUGGGCAACCUGUUCCAGAGCCUCACCAUCCUUAUUGUAAAAAACUUCUUCCUUACAUCCAAUCAAAAUCUCCCUUCUUUUAUUUUGAACUGGUGUACCCUUAUCUUAUCAUGACUGAUUCUCCUAUAGAAAGCCUGUCCCCUUCUUUCUUAUAGCCCCCUUUUACAUACUGUUUUCUUACUUUAAGAUGAAAUUUCUUGUUUUUCAAUUUGUGCCCAUUGCUUCUAGCCCUGUCACCACUGAGAGAAGCCUGUUUCUCACUGCAUAUUUUUAAGGAAAGGCUGGAGCUUUAAGCAACAAGAAGUCUUCUUUGGUGUUAGUUGGGAUAGGAAAUAGCAGAUCCUCCUAAGGAUGCAGUGUGUGAUGAGUCCAUUUAAGGAGCAUGAUUUCAUAAAGAUAUACUUGCAAAGAAUUGCUGAGAUUGGAUGAAAAGGCCUGUUUCAUUUUGCUUGGAUCUGGAGCGUUCUUGGGAUGCUUUGGAACCAGUACCUAAUGGAACACAAGGUCAGGGGUUUGGCAGUUCCUCACAAAGGAUAAAACAGGAGGCACAUAUCUUCCUGUGCCUUGGAUAGUGGGAUUUCUUCCAAAACGUUUAAGUGCCAUAGAUUGUGCUCUCCUUACAAUUCAGUGUGGACAUGGUGGUGAUAGGUUGAUCAUUUGGCUUGCUAAUCUUAGAGGUCUUUUACAUCCUUAGUUAUUCUGUGUUUGUAUGAUUCUCUUCCUAGCUUAUACCACUUUAUGAAGUGGAGGAGGAUUGUGUCUCCCUUAUUUCUGAGGUGGACAUCCAAAGUCGAUAAGGAAGAGGAAAAAGUUGUUCUGAAGUUACUGCUAGGGGUGUGACGUGUGAAAAUACUGUUUGUCUGUAGAAAGCAGAACCUAGUGGUUCUACAUCAGCGCUCUUUUGACACAUCCACAAACAAUCUGCUCUACACAGGUUAGCGAUGUUUCAAGAGAAAGGCUGAAUGGUUAAAUGAGCACGGAAACAUAAGCCCAGCUCACCCUGAAGGCACAUUAUGCGUUGGCAGGGCAGGUUUCGUAAGCUCACUGUAUUGCCUGUUCUGUGAAUAAUUACCCGUGUACAGAUAAAUAGAAGUCUGCCUCUGUCCAACUCCCUUGACAAAUGACACAUUCUUUUAAAUGAAAAUCAACCAGUUGAUGAAUUUUUAAGCACUGAAGUAUAACUGCAGGCAGAGGAAUUUCUUCAAAAUAUCUUUUUCUCUCAGAUCAAGUUCAUAUAGUAGGAGAAAAUACUGUGUGACUUAUAAAAGGCAAAAGCCCUACUUAAUUUAUAUCUGAAAUUGCUUAUUUAAACUACAUAUUACAUAAAACUGGGUAGUGUCCAGUAACAUGCUUGCAGAGAAACCAAUUAGAAUUGGUUGGUAAUGACCUAGGAACCAAAAUCAAGUAAAGAAGUUAAUUCCUGUAGUGCAUUUUUAUAGCUGCGCUUAACUGGAAAAAGUCCCUGAAAUCUAUAUACAAUCACAUAGGUACCAGUUUUCCAUCUCUACUGUUUUGGGAUUGUGCUGGAUCUGGCCAGUGUCGCACACAACCCAAAGACAAACUCCUAUGCACUUCCCAAGAAAAUGUACACUGUGGCGGGUCACAGUCACAAGCACAGAUAACUGAAUGAUAAAGAGCUUUUUGGUCCCAUUAGUUUGUCAUGACUGCACAAAAUAAACAAACAAACAAAAAAAACAACCCUAAACCAAACAGCAACCCUCUCUUCAUUCAGAUUGCUGAAUGCCUCCUUUAUUGUGGGCUUGUGCAACAGUGUACAUUGGCUUAGUAGGAGCAGCAAGUGACACGGACAGGUUUGAGAGAAUGAUACUCCCUUGAAGGGAAGCAAGCAAAUCUUUUGUCUCCAGGCAAAAUGAUCAUAUUAAUUACAUCUUGAACAGGGCUGAAUAAAGCUCCUGGAGCUGAAAGACUCUUCAGAAGUUUGCUGAUCAAAAGGUAACUAACUUUAAAAUGGAGGUAAGGACACAAUAAACUGGUAUUUAUAUGAGUUUGUCUAUGUAUCCUUGUUUGGCUAUGUAACAAAAUGCUGGAUUUAAAGCAUCUGAUGGUUCAAGCAUUUUAUUAUUUCUUCUAGUUAAGAGGAUUGUAUGCAGAAACCUCGGGAGUGACUCCAACGAAGUCCUUUUGCUUACAAACACAUGGCCUUCUUGUUUGUAUCUGACUGCAUUGCAGCUCAGUGUCCCUGUUACAUUCAGAUUUUGAAAUGGGACAAAAGAUAUUAUACAUAUUUCUGAGGAUCAGAGCCUCCAUUGGGAUAAGCAGAGUGAAACUCCACAGAGCACAAGAGAAUAAAACCUUUUAAAGAAAACCGUCUGUCUGAUUCUAGACUCUUGUAUCUUUUCUACAAAUGUUUUUCUACUCUUGAAGCCUCAUUUACUCCUAUUGCUUGCUUACAUUACUUAUUAUGUUAUCCUUAACCACUUUUAAUGUCUCUGGUUCACCAUUAUAUUCCCUCUUCCUCCCCAUCCCUUAUGCUGUUCAUCUAACUGCAGUAAUUUGCCAGUUGUGGAAAACAGAUUAUAGUCACCUAAAUCCAGCUUUGAAUAAAUAGAAUUUAUUUUAAUAGAAAAUUUCAUCCACAUGAUAAUCAUUUUACUGAUACCAAAUGGGCAUUUUACUGAGCAUACAUGUUCUUACUUUUUUAUCUCUUAGAAUUUGAGGAAUGUUUUUCUUGUCUUUCACAGUGUCUUUAAACUCUUAACAAAAUUCUCCUUGAGACAAGCAGUUAUAUACAUGUGUGUAUGUUAAGAAAGACAAUACUGCUGUAUUUCUUUAUGCUGAAGAGCGACUGUGAGCUUUCAGAUUGGGUUAGUUUUAUUAUAUGAGCAAAUAAAGUAACAGAAAGAUAUAGGAAGCAGUGUUUUUAUUUUGGAAUCCACUUUGCAGCAGUGGCAAAAAAAAAACUUCUGAGCAAACUAGCAUGGUCUCUCCAUGUAAAGCUGCUGGAUGGUACAGAUUAGAGAAAACAAAGUCAGAACUCCUUGUAACUUUAUGCAACUUCAAAUUUUACUGUAUCCACAAAAAUAAAUAAAUAAAUAAAUAAAACGGAAAAAUGCCUCUGAAUUCCAUGUCUGAAAAUAGUAUUGCCAACCAAAGCUGAUGACAAGCUGCAGUAAUUUUUUUCUCUAACACAUGGAGCAUGCUUCAGUAAUACACAAUUUUGCUGAGCUCAGUGUAAGGAUAGUCAUUUGGAGCAGAUUCGGCUGAAUGUAAAAAUGGUCAUCAUGUUUUCCAAGAAUAUUUGGAAAAUAUAACCACAUAAUGAGAAACUAAUGAAGAAUAUGAAUAUUUGUACUCAAACAGAAGGAUCUAAGAUUUGUUCACAGUAAUUGUGCUUGAAUUUACGUUCCUGCUUAUUCUUAAAUUCCUAGUGCACAGAUUUAUACAUGGUAUCUUGAAACCAUACAUGGCUUUUCACAUGAUCUAAUGUUGUCAGAAGUUUCUCAGUAGCAAUAUAAGUGUUAACCUGAUACCUUAUGUUAACUUCAGGAAAAGCAUAUUUCAAAGUCUUCAGGUAAUGCAGUCUUGGCUACCUUGCAUCUUUUUUAUCUGCUGAGUUACUUAACCAUACAUUAGUUGUGGUUUCUUUGCUUGGUGUUAAAUACACUCUUCAUUUCAUUCAGUGGUUUAAUACAUUAAAAUGUAGUCUCACAGAAAUAUCUGUUUCAAAAUAAUUAAUCACACCGAAUUAAUGGUUGGCUCUUUAAAAAUAUUAACUUGACGAGAUCCUCAAGAAUUUGUCCUCAAGGUUAGUCUUUUAUGAUUUUAAAAUAUCUUAAGCUGAUUUAAAAUGUACAAUAUCUGCUAGGUAAUUUCCGGGGUCUCUUAGUUCCAGAGAAUAUAUUGGGCAUAGUAAGUGUAAGAAUGAUUAAUGUCACUGAAGGGAAACCAACAGACAUCAUCGUGAACAUCUGGCACAUGCUUCUCUUUCUUUAUCAUAACUGCAUAAUUCUGGAGUUCCAUAUUUUGUAGCAUUAUGAAGUGAGACUGUGGUCCAAGCUGCAAAAAUGCUUAAGAAGUGGCAACAUAUUGUAAAAGAGAACAGAUAGUGCUGCUCAAGUAGCAUAAGCUGUCAUAAACAAUGUUGUGGGUUGACUGUGCCAGCUGUCAGGCACCCACCCAGCUACUCUCACUCCCCUUCCCCAGUAGGAAAGGGGAGGAAAUAAGAUGAAGCACCUCUUCCCCUUCCUUCUUUGAUCUUGGAGUUUUCAGGGCUCUUCUCACACCGUUUUGCCUCACUCCUCACACUGCUGUGUGGCAUUUUGCCCUCUACAUAUGUUAUCACAGAGGUGGCACAAGGGUGGCUGCUGGGCCCAACCGUGGCCAGUGGUGAGGCCUAUGGAGCUGACUGGAACUGGCUGUGCCCUUCAUGGACAGCCCUGGCCUCCUCAAAGGCCACCCCUGCAGCCUUCCUGCUGCUGAAAUCUUGCCACGCAAAACCUAGUGCACUGCUUCAAGUUCAAUAUUGAGUUUUCUGAGCUCCGUGGAGUUCAGUUAGCUCAGCUUUAAAACAGCUCUGAAUGAGGCUCUGAAUGGGCUGAUCCCCAAACCUCUCCUAGUGAGGUGGUGGAGUCACCGUCCCUGGAGGUGUUCAGAAAUGUUUAGAUAUAGCGUUGAGAGACAUGGUUUAGUGGGGUUAUUGGUGGUAGGUGGAUGGUUGGACUAGGUGAUCUUGUAGGUCUUUUCCAACCUAGCUAAUUCUAUGAUUCUAUGAAAGACAGGUACCUGGGGGUGCCGAGUAUAGCCUAGUGCCAUGAGAUGUUUCCUAAACUGCAGAUUUAUUAUGCUUCACGUAUCAGUUGUACACUGUUAUGACAAUAAAAUUCUGCCAUACACUAAUGAGAUAUUUUCAUAAAUUACUUAAGUUGGAAAGCACAAUUUGCACAUUCUAACUUGAUAAUUUUUCCAAGAAAAUAUUUCCAAAUCCAAUAAUUGCAUUUUGCAUGGGAAAAAAAAAAGGCCCUUUCUUUUUUUGUGAAGCCUGAAAAAAAUGUCAGUUUUUCUGGAAAGCUGACAAAAAUGUGUUUCUCUCAAUUUAGUCUGCUGUCUGCAAUUCAAUUUCAUUUAGGUUUAUGGACACUUCAGGUACUUUUUUGCAUACUGGCUCUCCAGUGUUACAUUAAAAAUAUGUGUCUAAUAGACUUGUCUAUUGAAAUAUAAAGACUUUAUCAGAUAAAGGAUAAUGUAGAUUUUUUAGGCCCUGGUAACUCAUCUAAUCCUCCUCUAAUCCUGGAAGCAGAUGUUUCAGCUCUGUCUUCAAGCCAUUGUUGCAUGACCAGAGGGACAAAAAGAGACUUCAUAGCAUUCCAGCAUAAUUAGGAUUUAUUUUCACAGUUGAUAAAUGGAAACAAAAAAUCUUGAAAGUGCUUGUCUUAAGGUACAAUAAACCUAGCAACAUAGAAGUAAUUUACUGGAAAAAAACAGAACCUACUUCCAGGAUUCCUUUUCUGACUUGUUUUCUGAUAUUGCAGCACUUCACUCUCCACGUGCAAUAUCUGAUUUAUAUAAUCUAAUACAUAAUGUGUAGUUAAUAUAUGAUCAUCUAAUAAUGUGUGUCCAUCAGCCUGUGGUAUAUGCUCUUAAUGCCUCAUUUUCUUCUCAGUUUGCUUUCAUAAAAAUGUUAAUUUAGCCUGAGUUAUAACCGAGAAAUCUGUACUACCCCUUGUGAAAGUUGUAAAC
Molecule: long non-coding RNA, 5718 nt
Organism: Numida meleagris (helmeted guineafowl)
Lineage: Eukaryota; Metazoa; Chordata; Aves; Galliformes; Numididae
Exons: 3
Source: RefSeq, a predicted model, not a curated record